CCUACGGGAGGCAGCAGUGAGGAAUAUUGGUCAAUGGCCGCAGGGCUGAACCAGCCAAGUCGCGUGAGGGAUGACGGUCCUAUGGAUUGUAAACCUCUUUUGUCAGGGAGCAAAGGGCGCCACGUGUGGCGUUUUGCGAGUACCUGAAGAAAAAGCAUCGGCUAACUCCGUGCCAGCCGCCGCGGUAAUACGGAGGAUGCGAGGGUUAUCCGGAUUUAUUGGGGUUAAAGGGUGCGCAGGCGGAAUGUCAAGUCAGCGGUAAAAUUUCGGGGCUCAACCCCGUCGUGCCGUUGAAACUGGCGGUCUUGAGUGAGCGAGAAGUAUGCGGAAUGCGUGGUGUAGCGGUGAAAUGCAUAGAGAUCACGCAGAACUCCGAUUGCGAAGGCAGCAUACCGGCGCUCAACUGACGCUCAUGCACGAAAGCGUGGGUAUCGAACAGGAUUAGAUACCCGAGUAGUC
Molecule: ribosomal RNA, 459 nt
Filed under: uncultured bacterium
Lineage: Bacteria
Description: partial 16S ribosomal RNA
Rfam family: Bacterial small subunit ribosomal RNA
Source: RNAcentral